Molecule: ribosomal RNA, 2902 nt
Filed under: Escherichia coli
Lineage: Bacteria; Pseudomonadati; Pseudomonadota; Gammaproteobacteria; Enterobacterales; Enterobacteriaceae
Description: bacterial LSU rRNA
Rfam family: Bacterial large subunit ribosomal RNA
Source: RNAcentral
UUAAGCGACUAAGCGUACACGGUGGAUGCCCUGGCAGUCAGAGGCGAUGAAGGACGUGCUAAUCUGCGAUAAGCGUCGGUAAGGUGAUAUGAACCGUUAUAACCGGCGAUUUCCGAAUGGGGAAACCCAGUGUGUUUCGACACACUAUCAUUAACUGAAUCCAUAGGUUAAUGAGGCGAACCGGGGGAACUGAAACAUCUAAGUACCCCGAGGAAAAGAAAUCAACCGAGAUUCCCCCAGUAGCGGCGAGCGAACGGGGAGCAGCCCAGAGCCUGAAUCAGUAUGUGUGUUAGUGGAAGCGUCUGGAAAGGCGCGCGAUACAGGGUGACAGCCCCGUACACAAAAAUGCACAUGCUGUGAGCUCGAUGAGUAGGGCGGGACACGUGGUAUCCUGUCUGAAUAUGGGGGACCAUCCUCCAAGGCUAAAUACUCCUGACUGACCGAUAGUGAACCAGUACCGUGAGGGAAAGGCGAAAAGAACCCCGGCGAGGGGAGUGAAAAAGAACCUGAAACCGUGUACGUACAAGCAGUGGGAGCACAGAGCAAUCUGUGUGACUGCGUACCUUUUGUAUAAUGGGUCAGCGACUUAUAUUCUGUAGCAAGGUUAACCGAAUAGGGGAGCCGAAGGGAAACCGAGUCUUAACUGGGCGUUAAGUUGCAGGGUAUAGACCCGAAACCCGGUGAUCUAGCCAUGGGCAGGUUGAAGGUUGGGUAACACUAACUGGAGGACCGAACCGACUAAUGUUGAAAAAUUAGCGGAUGACUUGUGGCUGGGGGUGAAAGGCCAAUCAAACCGGGAGAUAGCUGGUUCUCCCCGAAAGCUAUUUAGGUAGCGCCUCGUGAAUUCAUCUCCGGGGGUAGAGCACUGUUUCGGCAAGGGGGUCAUCCCGACUUACCAACCCGAUGCAAACUGCGAAUACCGGAGAAUGUUAUCACGGGAGACACACGGCGGGUGCUAACGUCCGUCGUGAAGAGGGAAACAACCCAGACCGCCAGCUAAGGUCCCAAAGUCAUGGUUAAGUGGGAAACGAUGUGGGAAGGCCCAGACAGCCAGGAUGUUGGCUUAGAAGCAGCCAUCAUUUAAAGAAAGCGUAAUAGCUCACUGGUCGAGUCGGCCUGCGCGGAAGAUGUAACGGGGCUAAACCAUGCACCGAAGCUGCGGCAGCGACGCUUAUGCGUUGUUGGGUAGGGGAGCGUUCUGUAAGCCUGUGAAGGUGUGCUGUGAGGCAUGCUGGAGGUAUCAGAAGUGCGAAUGCUGACAUAAGUAACGAUAAAGCGGGUGAAAAGCCCGCUCGCCGGAAGACCAAGGGUUCCUGUCCAACGUUAAUCGGGGCAGGGUGAGUCGACCCCUAAGGCGAGGCCGAAAGGCGUAGUCGAUGGGAAACAGGUUAAUAUUCCUGUACUUGGUGUUACUGCGAAGGGGGGACGGAGAAGGCUAUGUUGGCCGGGCGACGGUUGUCCCGGUUUAAGCGUGUAGGCUGGUUUUCCAGGCAAAUCCGGAAAAUCAAGGCUGAGGCGUGAUGACGAGGCACUACGGUGCUGAAGCAACAAAUGCCCUGCUUCCAGGAAAAGCCUCUAAGCAUCAGGUAACAUCAAAUCGUACCCCAAACCGACACAGGUGGUCAGGUAGAGAAUACCAAGGCGCUUGAGAGAACUCGGGUGAAGGAACUAGGCAAAAUGGUGCCGUAACUUCGGGAGAAGGCACGCUGAUAUGUAGGUGAAGUCCCUCGCGGAUGGAGCUGAAAUCAGUCGAAGAUACCAGCUGGCUGCAACUGUUUAUUAAAAACACAGCACUGUGCAAACACGAAAGUGGACGUAUACGGUGUGACGCCUGCCCGGUGCCGGAAGGUUAAUUGAUGGGGUCAGCGCAAGCGAAGCUCUUGAUCGAAGCCCCGGUAAACGGCGGCCGUAACUAUAACGGUCCUAAGGUAGCGAAAUUCCUUGUCGGGUAAGUUCCGACCUGCACGAAUGGCGUAAUGAUGGCCAGGCUGUCUCCACCCGAGACUCAGUGAAAUUGAACUCGCUGUGAAGAUGCAGUGUACCCGCGGCAAGACGGAAAGACCCCGUGAACCUUUACUAUAGCUUGACACUGAACAUUGAGCCUUGAUGUGUAGGAUAGGUGGGAGGCUUGGAAGUGUGGACGCCAGUCUGCAUGGAGCCGACCUUGAAAUACCACCCUUUAAUGUUUGAUGUUCUAACGUUGACCCGUAAUCCGGGUUGCGGACAGUGUCUGGUGGGUAGUUUGACUGGGGCGGUCUCCUCCUAAAGAGUAACGGAGGAGCACGAAGGUUGGCUAAUCCUGGUCGGACAUCAGGAGGUUAGUGCAAUGGCAUAAGCCAGCUUGACUGCGAGCGUGACGGCGCGAGCAGGUGCGAAAGCAGGUCAUAGUGAUCCGGUGGUUCUGAAUGGAAGGGCCAUCGCUCAACGGAUAAAAGGUACUCCGGGGAUAACAGGCUGAUACCGCCCAAGAGUUCAUAUCGACGGCGGUGUUUGGCACCUCGAUGUCGGCUCAUCACAUCCUGGGGCUGAAGUAGGUCCCAAGGGUAUGGCUGUUCGCCAUUUAAAGUGGUACGCGAGCUGGGUUUAGAACGUCGUGAGACAGUUCGGUCCCUAUCUGCCGUGGGCGCUGGAGAACUGAGGGGGGCUGCUCCUAGUACGAGAGGACCGGAGUGGACGCAUCACUGGUGUUCGGGUUGUCAUGCCAAUGGCACUGCCCGGUAGCUAAAUGCGGAAGAGAUAAGUGCUGAAAGCAUCUAAGCACGAAACUUGCCCCGAGAUGAGUUCUCCCUGACUCCUUGAGAGUCCUGAAGGAACGUUGAAGACGACGACGUUGAUAGGCCGGGUGUGUAAGCGCAGCGAUGCGUUGAGCUAACCGGUACUAAUGAACCGUGAGGCUUAACCU